GGACACAGGGGGGGUGAGCAGCUGAACGUCCCAAAAUCACCCCAAAACCGCCCCAAAAGCACAGCCCAGCUCCCCCAGCAGCGGCAGUUUGAGGUGCUGGGCUCAGAUUCUGCAGGGGAGGUGCCUGAAGGGAAUUUCAGAGCAAGGAGAGAUGGGGAUGGGACAGGAGAUGCUGAGGGGUGGGGAUAGGAGAGAGGGGAGAAGAGGGGGAACACUGGGAGAAAAUGCUCCUGAUCUGCUGGGGCAUCCCCAGCCAGUCCCAGGCCCCAGUAUUGGGGUGUAUCCAUCGCCCCCAGUUUGGGAUUCCCCAGUUCCCAGUCCCACUCUGGGGUUUUCCCUGCUCUCCACACCCUCACCUUUAAAUCCACCAGGUCCUUUUUGCUUUAACCAGGCUGGGACAGUUUUAGGAGGUCCCACUCAUGGCUGUGGCCACCCCAUCCCAUUCCUGACCAUCCCUCCUGGACAGCCAGAUUUUGGUGCCAUUUUGGUGCCAGAACUCCUUCCCAGGAUAUUUUUUGCCUUUUUUUUGUUUUGGUUUUGUUUUUUUUUUUUGGCAGGAAGAUUUUCUUCUCCUAAGGGAAAAAGGGACACCAGAGCAUUCCCCACCAGGAGCUGAGAGCCAAGCAGAACCCCCAAUUCCCUGCACUCAACAUUUCCCAAAUUCCCAGAGCUGCUCCCUCCCUCACCUGGCAGCUUUCAUCCAUCCCCAAAUCCUCCACAAGCUGCUGCAUCCCCAGCUCAGCGUGGGGAUAUUCCAGCUCCCUCCUUCCCUCCGGCUGCUAUUUCUGUCUGUUCCCCCCAGGAACCCGGGAUCCUUCCCUGCCAUUGUAUCCCCGGCUCCCGUGGAGCACAAUGCAGUGUCCCACACCUCCCCUGGGAAAGCACCUUCCUGACAAACACCUCCCUCUCCACCAACAUUUCCCUGAUUUCCAGCCCUUGCACCGGGCUGGGUGAUGAAAUUUCCGUUCUGUGGGAGAACUGAACUCUAAAACAUGGAGGUUUUGUUCCAAAAUCGGGAUGAAAAGGCAAAAAAAUUUUCUCGUCGAGUGAAAGAUUUUGGCUGGGAGUGAUCCAAGUGCUUUGUUUUGAUUAUGCUGAGCUGCUUCAUUUUCCCAAAGCAAACCCAUUUUGCUUCAAAAACAUCGGCACAGCUCCGCUGUCAGCUCUGCACUGAGCACUUGUGCCAGAGUCAGAUUGAGACAUUUCCACUCUAAACAAAAGCAAGAGCUCGAAAUGAAUCAUUUCAGCUCGUGCCUUGUCAGAAUCCACACAAAAACCGGGCUGGAAAUGUGGGAUUUGGCCAUUUUAUAAGCAAGCUGCUGCUCCUGGUUUCCAUUUCUGUUGUUAACUCUUUUCAUCCAUGUCCCUGGAGGUGUAAAAACCCCUUCCCAUCAUCUUCCUCUGCUGGAAAAGGGUCAGCGCUUUGGAGCUGAGCUUCUCCCAGCAUCUCCAGCAGGUUGGAGUGGUUUAAAUAAAAUAAAAUAAAAUAAAAUAAAAU
Molecule: long non-coding RNA, 1498 nt
Organism: Passer montanus (Eurasian tree sparrow)
Lineage: Eukaryota; Metazoa; Chordata; Aves; Passeriformes; Passeridae
Exons: 2
Source: RefSeq, a predicted model, not a curated record